AGGGGGCAAAAGAAAAAAAUUUCCGGAAAACUUCAAAAUUUCCAUGGAAAUAGAAGUCAAAUCAACUGAAAACAAUCUAAAAUGCAUUUUGCUGCAUUGAUAAUCAUAUUUAGCAUGUUUAGGCUUGUUUGAAAAUGUUUUGAAUUUUUAUGAAAUUCCAAUGUACAGCACCGCAAAAAAUAUUUUUCGCAAAAAAUAAAAUUUUCGUGAAUACUUAGAUAUUUUGGAAACUAAUGAUGGCAAAACAACUGGACAGGUGUAUAAUGCAUUAUAAAACACUUUUUUCAUUAAAAUGUUGAAACCAUGGCUCGUAAUUUCAAUUUUUAUACUUUUUUAUUUUUUUUUUUGGUCAGAGUCGAGGGACAUAAACUUCAAAAAAUAUUUGCAACGGCCUAAAUAUUAAAUAUCAAAUUGAAUAAGUAACAUGUCAAAACAAUCGAUUAUAUAUGAUUUUUUCAAAUGAGAUAAACUGCCUGUUUGAAUUCGGCGCAGUUUAAUGUGGAGUUUAGUGAGCCCCGAACGACCCCUCUCUGACAGCAGCCAGCUGCCACUCGUCGAGCGAUACGAACGGGAGAAAACGUCAACACAAAGGAAAAAGUGGCCGACGAUUGCCGCGCGAGGCCGGCAAGUUUGUCGGUUCGGUUCCAGAUUCUUGCCAAGUCCGCAAGAAUAACCGCGUGAGGGGCGCUGAACGUCCAGCAGCAGUUCCGCGGACCGGCAGAAUACUACGGAAACGGCGACUCCGUCCCAGGUGCAGUAUCAUUCGCGGUGAAUCCGGGCACGGACUACUAGAUGAAAAACGUGAGUUGCAAAGUGCAAUGGCUUCGACAGCGUUGGCGUUGACGUAGGACUACGCAUUGAUUUGUUUUUCUACUUAAUUCUAAGCAUGCAAAAGAUCAUGCAAUAUCGUUAUGAAUUGAAUUUAAUUUGUUAUUUGCUUCAGGAAACCUUCCUCUACACGGAACUGUUGUUUCUUUCGCGGGAUUUCUUAUUUAAGGAGGUUUACACUAAAUCUUAUAGCUACGGUUAUGUGAAACCAGCCUAAA
Culex pipiens pallens (northern house mosquito) is the source of this 1046-nucleotide long non-coding RNA. RefSeq lists it as uncharacterized. The transcript is spliced from 2 exons. NCBI's taxonomy places the organism in Eukaryota, Metazoa, Arthropoda, Insecta, Diptera, Culicidae. The record is from RefSeq and is a predicted model, not a curated record.